ACAACAAAUACUCUUUAAUACAUGAACUUAAUCAUCAAUCCUUUGACUUAAGAGGAAAACACUUUUCAUGGAAGACCCCUAAGGAUUCCUAUGUAGUACAAUUAAAAUGCAGAAAUAUUUGAGAACAUAGUUUUGUGCCCUGGAUGGGUCAAUAAAAUAAUGUAUAAAUUGUUAAAUGUGAAUUAAGAACUUUCUGUAAACAUCAGAUUAGGCUCUAUUCCCUGUCAGAGAAUACUGACUUUGAUUUGUGACUUCUAUCCUCACUAAUAAUGCUUUUUUCCUCUUACAUACAUCCUAGCCUGGAUUGUCUUACAUCAUUCUAUAGCAGUCAAUGUGGUUAUUGUACAACUUCAUUUUCAAUGAAAGCCAAGAGAAAAUAAAUCUCACAUCUAUCCUUCUGUCUCUUUUUCCCUCUCUCUCUCCACAUAUAAAGGAAAAUCAUUAAAAAUAAAUAACAAAGUAUACUUAACCCAGCCAAAUCUUGGCAGUUGAUAUGUAUAAUAUUUUAAGACAGAAAAAGAGAGCAGUAGAAAUGGAGGAAAAUAUUGCAUCCUAAAUUCCUUCAAAAAUUAAAAUGCAAGUUUGG
RNAcentral lists this long non-coding RNA (586 nucleotides) under Bos taurus (domestic cattle). RNAcentral describes it as "long non-coding RNA NONBTAT026382". The record is from RNAcentral. Lineage: Eukaryota; Metazoa; Chordata; Mammalia; Artiodactyla; Bovidae.